UACGUAGGUCCCGAGCGUUGUCCGGAUUUAUUGGGCGUAAAGCGAGCGCAGGUGGUUUAUUAAGUCUGGUGUAAAAGGCGGUGGCUCAACCAUUGUAUGCAUUGGAAACUGGUAGACUUGAGUGCAGGAGAGGAGAGUGGAAUUCCAUGUGUAGCGGUGAAAUGCGUAGAUAUAUGGAGGAACACCGGUGGCGAAAGCGGCUCUCUGGCCUGUAACUGACACUGAGGCUCUAAAGCGUGGGGAGCAAACAGG
Molecule: ribosomal RNA, 252 nt
Filed under: uncultured bacterium
Lineage: Bacteria
Description: partial 16S ribosomal RNA
Rfam family: Bacterial small subunit ribosomal RNA
Source: RNAcentral